Molecule: ribosomal RNA, 219 nt
Filed under: uncultured bacterium
Lineage: Bacteria
Description: partial 16S ribosomal RNA
Rfam family: Bacterial small subunit ribosomal RNA
Source: RNAcentral
GCCAAUCUCAUUCGGAUUGUAGGCUGCAACUCGCCUACAUGAAGUUGGAAUCGCUAGUAAUCGCGAAUCAGAAUGUCGCGGUGAAUACGUUCCCGGGUCUUGUACACACCGCCCGUCACACCACGAGAGUUUACAACACCCGAAGUCAGUGGCCUAACCGUAAGGAGGGAGCUGCCUAAGGUGGGGUAGAUGAUUGGGGUGAAGUCGUAACAAGGUAUC